AGAGUUUGAUUCUGGCUCAGGAUGAACGCUAGCGGCAGGCUUAACACAUGCAAGUCGAGGGGCAGCGGGUGUAGCAAUACAUGCCGGCGACCGGCGAAAGGGUGAGGUAACGCGUGAGCAACGUGCCCGGUAUUGGGGGAUAGUCAUUGGAAACGAUGCGUAAUACCCCGUAACAACAAGGAUCGCAUGGUUCAUGUUUAAAAGAUUUAUUGAUACCGGAUCGGCUCGCGUACCAUUAGGUAGACGGCGGGGUAACGGCCCACCGUGCCGACGAUGGUUAGGGGUUCUGAGAGGAAGGUCCCCCACAUUGGAACUGAGACACGGUCCAGACUCCUACGGGAGGCAGCAGUGAGGAAUAUUGGUCAAUGGCCGAGAGGCUGAACCAGCCAUGCCGCGUGCCGGGAAGACGGCCCUAUGGGUUGUAAACCGCUUUUGUCGGGGAGCAAUAAGUGUUACGUGUAACACGAUGAGAGUACCUGGCGAAUAAGCAUCGGCUAACUCCGUGCCAGCAGCUGC
This 516-nucleotide ribosomal RNA is filed under the name uncultured bacterium. Its description in RNAcentral is "bacterial SSU rRNA". It matches the Rfam family "Bacterial small subunit ribosomal RNA", at positions 8 to 518 of the family's 1533-position model. The record is from RNAcentral.